This is a long non-coding RNA of Dreissena polymorpha, 298 nucleotides long. RefSeq lists it as uncharacterized. NCBI's taxonomy places the organism in Eukaryota, Metazoa, Mollusca, Bivalvia, Myida, Dreissenidae. The transcript is spliced from 3 exons. The record is from RefSeq and is a predicted model, not a curated record.
GUGUGUUAAGUUUUGUCCUAGGUUAGCUUGUGCAGUCUGCACAGGCUUCAUGUGUGUUAAGUUUUGUCCUAGGUGAGCUUGUGCAGUCUGCACAGGCUUCAUGUGUGUUAAGUUUUGUCCUAGGUUAGCUUGUGCAGUCUGCGCAGGCUUCAUGUGUGUUAAGUUUUGUCCCAGGUUAGCUUGUGCAGUCUGCGCAGGCUUCAUGUGUGUUAAGUUUUGUCCCAGGUUAGCUUGUGCAGUCUGCACAGGCUUCAUGUGUGUUAAGUUUUGUCCCAGGUUAGCUUGUGCAGUCUGCGCA